Non-coding RNA from Mycena galericulata, 91 nucleotides. NCBI's taxonomy places the organism in Eukaryota, Fungi, Basidiomycota, Agaricomycetes, Agaricales, Mycenaceae. The record is from the annotation of a GenBank genome assembly.
CAAGACAUGGUGCAAAGGAUAGCACGGCUCUCGUGAACGCUCGUGGGAAUCUGAGUGAGAGCAAAUCGGGGUUCAAUUCCCCGUGUCUAUG